Molecule: ribosomal RNA, 492 nt
Filed under: uncultured bacterium
Lineage: Bacteria
Description: partial 16S ribosomal RNA
Rfam family: Bacterial small subunit ribosomal RNA
Source: RNAcentral
AGUGAACGCUGGCGGUAGGCCUAACACAUGCAAGUCGAACGGCAGCACAGUAAGAGCUUGCUCUUACGGGUGGCGAGUGGCGGACGGGUGAGGAAUACAUCGGAAUCUACUUUUUCGUGGGGGAUAACGUAGGGAAACUUACGCUAAUACCGCAUACGACCUACGGGUGAAAGCAGGGGAUCUUCGGACCUUGCGCGAUUGAAUGAGCCGAUGUCGGAUUAGCUAGUUGGCGGGGUAAAGGCCCACCAAGGCGACGAUCCGUAGCUGGUCUGAGAGGAUGAUCAGCCACACUGGAACUGAGACACGGUCCAGACUCCUACGGGAGGCAGCAGUGGGGAAUAGUGGACAAUGGGCGCAAGCCGGAUCCAGCCAUACCGCGUGGGUGAAGAAGGCCUUCGGGUUGUAAAGCCCUUUUGUUGGGAAAGAAAAGCAGCAGGUUAAUACCCCGCUGUUCUGACGGUACCCAAAGAAUAAGCACCGGCUAACUUCGUG